RNAcentral lists this ribosomal RNA (452 nucleotides) under uncultured bacterium. RNAcentral's name for it is "bacterial SSU rRNA". It matches the Rfam family "Bacterial small subunit ribosomal RNA", at positions 9 to 507 of the family's 1533-position model. The record is from RNAcentral.
GAGUUUGAUCCUGGCUCAGAACGAACGCUGGCGGCAUGCCUAACACAUGCAAGUCGAACGAGACCUUCGGGUCUAGUGGCGCACGGGUGCGUAACGCGUGGGAAUCUGCCCUUGGGUUCGGAAUAACAGUUAGAAAUGACUGCUAAUACCGGAUAAUGUCUUCGGACCAAAGAUUUAUCGCCCAGGGAUGAGCCCGCGUAGGAUUAGCUAGUUGGUGAGGUAAAGGCUCACCAAGGCGACGAUCCUUAGCUGGUCUGAGAGGAUGAUCAGCCACACUGGGACUGAGACACGGCCCAGACUCCUACGGGAGGCAGCAGUGGGGAAUAUUGGACAAUGGGCGAAAGCCUGAUCCAGCAAUGCCGCGUGAGUGAUGAAGGCCUUAGGGUUGUAAAGCUCUUUUACCCGGGAUGAUAAUGACAGUACCGGGAGAAUAAGCCCCGGCUAACUCCGUG